RNAcentral lists this long non-coding RNA (1571 nucleotides) under Homo sapiens (human). RNAcentral's name for it is "HSALNT0008146". The record is from RNAcentral. Lineage: Eukaryota; Metazoa; Chordata; Mammalia; Primates; Hominidae.
UGUUGCUAGAACCUAGAUCCCCACUCCCCGCACCCCUCAUUCCCACCGCGUCCAGGUGGCUUUCCCAGCGGGGUACCAUGUACUCUGCCCGCUCCAGAGGAACCGAAGGGGUUUCAUUCCAUUCUCCUUUGGUUGAAACAUUUCAAACAUUUGAGCAGCUUGGCGGUAACUGACGACCUGUGAGCUUUUAGCUGCAAACUGCAACUACGCGGCAAACAAUUUAUUUAGCCCGACAUCUAGCCGGUCUCCGGCAGGACCCUGCACCGCGUCGGGAUCGGACCCUUCCGCUGGGGCGGCCUCCUGCGUCAAGGCCAGCAGGAACCUUCCUGUCGCCCUCCCCGGCCGCCGCUUCGCCUCCUUCCCGCCCCCGGAGGUUGUGCAGGCGCUAUGGUCCGCCUGGAGGGAGAAAGCCGGCGGCCGGUUCCUGAGCCGAGAGCGGCCGCGGAAAAAUCCUCUGCCUCCGCUGGAAAUCGAUAUUAGGCCGGCGCGGGCGCGGGACGUCGGGGCCGCAGCCAGUAGGUUGUGCACGUCUCAUCAUUUAGCUAAUCGAGUCGAAAAGUUUCUGUAAGGGCCGGACCCAGCAUCAGAUGGUAACACUGAUUGAACAAGAGAUUAGCACAAUAGAUCUCUAACCGAGGGGAAGCGUUGCUUUUCACGCUACGCGCCGUAAUUAAUGGUAUGAAUCAAUUAAUUUGACUUUUAUUGUGUCGAAGGAAAAAAGCGCAACAAAUGGAACCGGCAGCUGGGAGUUGUUCGUCCUCCACCCCCUUCCCCAGGGAGGUUCCAAGGAGACACCGGGGAAUGGACGGAUCAGGCUGGGCCGUGGCAGAGGGAGGGUAGGAGGCAGCGACCAGCAGCGUGGAGGGAGUCCAGAGAGCUAGCCUCUGCGGACGGCGGAAUCGAAAUUAGGCUCAUUUGGAGACUACUUCGAGACCGGUGAGGGGAGCCCUGUAGCCACCAUCCUCCGGCGCGCAUCCACACAUACUAGUCCACGCGGGCCCAGCCACCAAGGCCGCGGCAGGGCCAGCGCUGCGCCCCGGGCCCCUGCCUUUAGGGCUGGGCAACCCAAGCAGAGCAAAGGAGGUUCCUGAAUGUGUAAAUUUCCGCUUUUUAGCUUUUUUUUUUUUUUUUUUUGGACCUUCCGACACUUCGGUUGCUGAGGCAGUUGCAGACGCGACCUCUGCAGUCCUGGGCGAUGGCCAGCCAGCUCAGCUCGGGUCGGUUUCGCGGAAAGCUGUCUAGACGGCAUUGUAAACGGUUCGGAGCCUGCGGGCCACAAAGCUGUGGAGCUACGGAAAUCAACUCUGAGAUGCGUUUUAGGGCCGUGUGCAACCUCGGGAUCAUUUAGAUAAAGAAAAACUGUGGAGGUUGGCGGGCGUCUCAGGAUAGUGUCACCACCCCCUACCCUGCUCCCAGCCUCAGAUGAGUAGUGUUAUAUCCUGGGAAACUGUCUAAUGGGGAUGAAAGUCAAUCUGUGUGUCUCAAUGCCUGUAAUGAAGCAAGUUUACAGAUUUUUAAAUUUUUAUUUUUAUUUUAUUGAAUUAUUUUUGGUGUGUCUAGGCCAAGGAAAG